CUGCCACGACAGUGUCGGGAGUGAGACUACGGGUGCUAAGAUCCGUGGUCGAGAGGGAAACAGCCCAGACCGCCAGCUAAGGUCCCAAAGUGCAUGCUAAGUGGGCAAGGUAGUCGCGGCGCAUAGACAACCAGGAGGUUGGCUUAGAAGCAGCCAUCCUUGAAAGAGUGCGUAAUAGCUCACUGGUCGAGGGUGCCGCGGCGCCGACAAUCCACCGGGGCUCAAGCAUGCCGCCGAAGCUGCGGAAUCGAGAGAUUGGUAGGGGAGCGUCCCCGUCAGCGGAGAAGGGGGAGCGGAAGCGAACCUGGAGCGGCGGGGAGUGCGAAUGUCGGCAUGAGUAGCGCGAGGAGAGUGAGAAUCUCUCCCACCGGAUGCCCGAGGGUUCCGCAGCCAUGCUGAUCAACUGCGGGUGAGGCGGGCCUAAGCCGAGGCCGAAAGGCGUAGGUGAUGGACAACAGGUUACUAAUCCUGUCCCACGAUUGGCCGUUAUGAGUGAUGGGGAG
This 503-nucleotide ribosomal RNA is filed under the name uncultured bacterium. RNAcentral describes it as "bacterial LSU rRNA". It matches the Rfam family "Bacterial large subunit ribosomal RNA", at positions 963 to 1471 of the family's 2925-position model. The record is from RNAcentral.